GCCCGUUGGUCAAGCGGUUAAGACACCGCCCUUUCACGGCGGUAACACCGGGUUCGAAUCCCGUACGGGUCACCAU
RNAcentral lists this transfer RNA (76 nucleotides) under Shouchella lehensis G1. Its description in RNAcentral is "Bacillus lehensis G1 tRNA-Glu". It matches the Rfam family "tRNA". From Rfam's summary of the family: Transfer RNA (tRNA) molecules are approximately 80 nucleotides in length. Their secondary structure includes four short double-helical elements and three loops (D, anti-codon, and T loops). The record is from RNAcentral. Lineage: Bacteria; Bacillati; Bacillota; Bacilli; Caryophanales; Bacillaceae.